CUGCAGCUCAAGUGGUGACCGCUAUUAUUGGGCCUAAAACGUUCGUAGCCGGCUGAGUAAAUGCUUGGGUAAAUCGUGCCGCUUAACGGUACGAAUUCCGGGUAGACUGCUCAGCUUGAGACCGGGAGAAGCUAGAGGUACUCCUGGGGUAGAGGUGAAAUUCUGUAAUCCUGGGGGGACCACCAGUGGCGAAGGCGUCUAGCUAGAACGGGUCUGACGGUGAGGGACGAAACCCUGGGGCGCAAACCGGAUUAGAUACCCGAGUAGUCC
Molecule: ribosomal RNA, 270 nt
Filed under: uncultured archaeon
Lineage: Archaea
Description: partial 16S ribosomal RNA
Rfam family: Archaeal small subunit ribosomal RNA
Source: RNAcentral